Molecule: ribosomal RNA, 27 nt
Filed under: Tecomella undulata
Lineage: Eukaryota; Viridiplantae; Streptophyta; Magnoliopsida; Lamiales; Bignoniaceae
Description: partial 18S ribosomal RNA
Source: RNAcentral
GUGACAUGCGGAAGGAUCAUUGUCGAA